Molecule: microRNA precursor, 183 nt
Filed under: Oryza sativa Indica Group (long-grained rice)
Lineage: Eukaryota; Viridiplantae; Streptophyta; Magnoliopsida; Poales; Poaceae
Description: MIR812 microRNA precursor family
Rfam family: MIR812 microRNA precursor family
Source: Rfam by way of RNAcentral
AAAAAGACAAACCUUGAAUUUUCGUGUACAACUUUUAUUGUUCGUCUUAUAUGAAAUUUUUUUAUAAUUCGUAUUUUUAUUAUUGUUAGAUGAUAAAACAUGAUUAAUACUUUGUGCGUAACUUGUCUUUUUAUUUUUUUUUAUAAUUUUUUCAAAUAAAACAGACGGUCAAACGUUUGACAC